GAUGAACGCUGGCGGCGUGCCUAACACAUGCAAGUCGAACGGACGAGAAGGUGCUUGCACCUUCAAGUUAGUGGCGGACGGGUGAGUAACGCGUGAGCAGCCUGCCUCAAAGAGGGGGAUAACGUCUGGAAACGGACGCUAAUACCGCAUGACGUAUCCGGUAGGCAUCUAUUGAAUACCAAAGGAGCAAUCCGCUUUGAGAUGGGCUCGCGUCUGAUUAGCUAGUUGGUGGGUAAAGGCCUACCAAGGCGACGAUCAGUAGCCGGACUGAGAGGUUGAUCGGCCACAUUGGGACUGAGACACGGCCCAGACUCCUACGGGAGGCAGCAGUGGGGGAUAUUGCACAAUGGGGGAAACCCUGA
RNAcentral lists this ribosomal RNA (362 nucleotides) under uncultured bacterium. Its description in RNAcentral is "bacterial SSU rRNA". It matches the Rfam family "Bacterial small subunit ribosomal RNA", at positions 28 to 386 of the family's 1533-position model. The record is from RNAcentral.